AUUCAUGAACAGAAAGAACAAGAUGAUGUUAUCAGGGACAAAUUGUUGUAAAGACUCACAUAUAUGGCCUGUCUACUGCUUCUAACAUCAAGCAGGGAGAGUGCAGCACCAGGGGAAUGGAUGCCACAAUAAGUGGUCAAGCAGCUUUGGAUUCCUUGGAGGGGAUUUAGAUUCUGCAACUGCACACUGGCUGGUGGCAAAAUAUGAAAGGUGAAUUGCAGGGUCAGCAGAGUACAUCACCUAGUCAGAAGGAGGAAGAAAAGCAUACAGAGAGAGGAUGUUCAGAUUCGAGCAGUUUUACUUGUACUUUUUCUUGAAUUUUCAAUUGUAAAGUUAUCUAAAUGUUGUUGGUUAAUCCAGUAAUCAAGCCGCCAUGCUUUAUGUGUUCCUUUCAUGUGAAAACAAAUGUGAAGGCUGCUUCUGUUUCACUGUCACAUAUAGCACAAAGUGCAUAACUCUUAAUUUUGUCUGAUUUUGCCUAACGUUACUGAAUCUUAUGUCCAUCUGGCCAUGAUUUUUGCAGACUGCCCCUGAUUUUGCCUCGUAUUUUUACUCUGUCCACCCCAUGUAAAACUUUCAGUUUUCUAGUAAAUCACUGAAGAUUACAGUUAGACACUAAUGCCGUAUAUUAGAGUUUCACAGUUUAUACCUCUUUACCCAGAAAAUGCAUGCUAAUACAAAACCUGUUACAUUAAUAAAUGGACAUAGUGCACUCAGCCCAUGUGCAGUAUGAAAGUGAUAUUUACUUACUUCCCCUCCAAAAAAAACAGAGGAAAGAGACCCAGCCUACUAAUACAGAAAGUGAAGUAAAGAUCCAACUUUACAUCAUCAAAGCAGCAAGCGUGAAGAUGCAAGCUCAGGAAAUCUCCUUAAGUCUGUGGAAAGCCGAUGUUUGAGAGCAGGAAAAUACAG
This is a long non-coding RNA of Protopterus annectens (West African lungfish), 912 nucleotides long. RefSeq lists it as uncharacterized. The transcript is spliced from 3 exons. The record is from RefSeq and is a predicted model, not a curated record. Lineage: Eukaryota; Metazoa; Chordata; Ceratodontiformes; Protopteridae.